This 208-nucleotide ribosomal RNA is filed under the name uncultured bacterium. RNAcentral describes it as "partial 16S ribosomal RNA". It matches the Rfam family "Bacterial small subunit ribosomal RNA", at positions 568 to 774 of the family's 1533-position model. The record is from RNAcentral.
CUCGUAGGCGGUUCAGUAAGUCGGGUGUGAAACCUCCAGGCUCAACCUGGAGACGCCACCCGAUACUGCUGUGACUAGAGUCCAGUAGGGGAGCGUGGAAUUCCUGGUGUAGCGGUGAAAUGCGCAGAUAUCAGGAGGAACACCAGCGGCGAAGGCGGCGCUCUGGGCUGGAACUGACGCUGAGGAGCGAAAGCGUGGGGAGCGAACA